This 405-nucleotide ribosomal RNA is filed under the name uncultured bacterium. RNAcentral describes it as "partial 16S ribosomal RNA". It matches the Rfam family "Bacterial small subunit ribosomal RNA", at positions 30 to 526 of the family's 1533-position model. The record is from RNAcentral.
AUUGAACGCUAGCGGGAUGCUUUACACAUGCAAGUCGAACGAGUUGCGGACGGGUGAGUAAUAUAUCGGAACGUGCCCAGUAGCGGGGGAUAACUACUAGAAAGAGUGGCUAAUACCGCCUAAUAUUAGAGAGGCCCAUAACGGAUUAGCUAGUUGGUGGGGUAAAGGCUCACCAAGGCAACAAUCCGUAGCUGGUUUGAGAGGACGACCAGCCACACUGGGACUGAGACACGGCCCAGACUCCUACGGGAGGCAGCAGUGGGGAAUUGUGGACAAUGGGGGAAACCCUGAUCCAGCCAUCCCGCGUGUAUGAGAAGGCCUUCGGGUUGUAAAGUACUUUUGUCAGAGAAGCGGUAUCUGCAGAAUAAGCACCGGCUAACUACGUGCCAGCAGCCGCGGUAAUUC